GGUCAGCAUUUAAAAAACCAACUUUGCAGCAUGAUUGCUUUAAAGCCUGCAUUUCACAUGUUACAAUUAUUGGUUAUUCCAAAGCUCCAAACUGCUAUUGUGCAGAAAUGGACAUUUCAAAAGGCUAAGUAGGUAUUGGCUACAAAAGGACCAUAAGCUUAGUAUGAAAAACAUUUUAAUCUGUUUACAGUCUAGAAAUGUUAUUUUGAUUUUUGAUCUCCAAAAUACUUCAACACAAAGGAAAUGCAAGUUAACAGUGGGAAUUGUAGCUCCCUUCUUAAAAUGCAUAUUGUGUCACUGCUGUUGCACACCUUUGAUCCGUUGCUGGUUUGUUGUCAUCUGAAGUCUUUCAUUGUUGAAAAAGUAUCUUACCAAUUAGUAUUUUCAGUAGUGUUCUGCCAUGGUUGACCUGGUGGUCUGAGACCAGAUCACAUACUAAAAAGCUUACUCUGUCCUUUUUUUCUGGAUAAUUGCCUUGGAGAGACACUGUACUUAUAACCAUGUUGAGUUAUUUUGUUAUGCUAAAAUGUCAAAAAAAUUGUGAAAUUAAGGCUGGCAAGAACCUAAAAACUAACUGCAACAGGGUUAAUCCCCCAGACACAUACUCCCUGCAAAUUUUAAUUAUCAGAUAAUAAAUUUCUGCUUUAAAUGUGGGACUUUAGAUCUUUUCUUGGUGAAUGCUUAAUAUUCACUAUAUGCUGUCUCAGUAGCAGCCUUCCAGAGUUACUGGCAAAAUGAAAUUGCUUUUGUUGGCAAAAGAAUUCCAGCCUAUGUGAAGAAAUGAAUCGUAGGACACUCACUAAAAUUUAUUUUGUCUUGCUAAAGAAAAUGUUUUGAAGCAUGAAGAUAUGUUUUCGAGAAAAGUGCCAAAUCUAAGUUUCAGUUACUUACGUAAAAGUAUCUGAAAGGAUAGAAACAGUGUGAAAAAGCUAAAAGAGCUUUGAAGAAAAAUAACACACACCUACAAAGGAGUAUUUUAUCAGUGGGGAAGCACUGCGUCUGCUUAGUUCAGCUCUUCUUUACCCAGUGAUGGGUCAUAUCUUAUCAUAUCAUAUACAUCACAUGAGACACAGAUGCCAGAAUAGAAUGGUGAGCGCUGGCAGGGGCUCUGCCUGUAUCCCUCUACUUCCCUGCAUGUGAGCACCCCAAGGACGCUUUAAGGUGCAAUUUAAUUCUCCAGCUUGAUUUGGAAGGAUAACCUUCCCCCUCCUCCCCCGCUGAGGCUGAUGUCUGCUCCCUGUGCUGUCCCAUUCCAUACAGCCAAGUCCUGCCGUUCAGCAGCCCCCAUCCCAGUGUGCUCACACCCAGCUGCAUCUGCUCCUGCUGCUGCCCUCGUGUCCACCGGGAGGGGUCCUGCCUUCUGCCCUUGACAAAUCCUCUUCUUGUCCUGCCCAUGAAGUGAUGUGAAAGCAAUUAAUUUCCAUGAAGUUACUCUAAAAUUAGGACCUGAAGUUCUAUGACCUGAACAGACAGUGGAUAAGACUCCUUUAGCAAUGAAAUGGAGCAAAAAUGAAGAUUACUCUGAAGAUGCUUCUGUUACUGGGAUCUUUGGAUAUUCUUCAGCCAUUGGAGUCCACCCGGCAACUUUUUUUCCCUACAGUACCAGCUACCCAAGUUGAUUCCUGGUUCUGGUGACAGAAGUACAGUGAACUCUUCUCCACCUGAGAGUUUGUGCAAAGGCUCCUAUGAAAAAAAAUUGACUGAUUUUUAAUCCAUAUAGUACAAAAUUUAUCAUUAUUGUAUAGAGUACAUCACAAGUUUUAUCCAGCUUCAGAAUUUUUCUGUCUUUUAAAGCUGCAGAAUCACUAAACAUCCUCACUUAAGAGGUUUUCCACAUGACUGUACACCUUAGAACCAUUUCACUUUAUCUGAGCUAACAUACACAUUCUCUGUAAGACAGUAUUGGCAUUUUUCAGGUUUAGUUUCAAAUAAGCCCAAUGCAAAGAUAACUAUAGCUCUCCACAGAAGAAGUUGUCUUAGUCUUCAUAUCAAAGCAAUACAUGAGAACUGUACAAGAACCAUUUUUAUUGUCUGCUCUUGCAGAAACCACCAAAAAGCAUGGGUUAUUCUGAUCCUUUUCUAACUCUACAGAAAUAAUCAGAAGAAGGUCUUCACCAUCCAUCUCAGUGCUGUAGGAUUUUUGAUCCCCAUUUGUCUCAUUCACCUGCCAAAAACUUAUGAAUGUAUAAGAUUUUUUUUCCUGGGAUUUGUGUGAUUAAGAUUUUAGCCAGGGGAGGUAUUAAUAAUCCCUGAUAGAGCCACAAUUUACUCAUUUCUCAGUGCAUGAUCUUUAGACUUGACAUUAUUCCUCAAUUUAGACUAUUCCAGCUUACUUCCCAUGCACAGGCUUAAAUAUAUCCACUGUGAUGUAUGUUUUCAGUGUCCCAAAGGGAUAUUACUCUAUCUUACCAAUACAAGUAUCACACUAAGCAUAAUUUUUUUGAAUCCAAUCUCUGUUUAAUGCAAAAUAAAUUUUAUUGAAGCUUAGUUCAGAUGAUAAUAACUCCAAAAACAUCCAGUGAAUUUAAAAUAACGAUUUCAUCAGAACCUUUAAUAUUUCUAAUGCAUAAGCUGAUAUCAGCUUCAUCUCUACCAUAGUGAGGCAUUUUAUAUUUACUCUCUGAGAUUUUCUACAGGUAGUGGGGAAGAUGUUUGCUAUGGUAUUUGUACUCAUGUAUUUUCCAGUUAAUUUUUUCAGUACCUCUAUUUUGAUAUCAGAUUGUCCUCUUCAGCAUGCUACCAAGGCUUGUUUAGAUUGUCAUAAUGAGGAUGGAGCAGAAUAUUCUGGUAUCAUUUGACAAGAGAUAUGCUGUAGACCUCUGCUCUGAACUACCAGACUAAAAAGUUGAUAAUCAAGUUACAAUUUUGCAGACAGAGAGAUUUUUAUAGAUUUUACUCUGCUACAUGUUAUGUUGCAAUAAUAUUCCUCAAUUUCUCCAUUACGGGCUAGGGUUUUUAGUUGCUAAGGCCACUGAAGCUCAAUAUAAAAAAAAAUAAAGGAAUUCAAGCUGAUUCAAGACAGAUCAAUAAGGUUUAAAUCCCAUGUUCAGAGGUUUAACAGGAAUGGUGAACUGAUUUUUUGUGGGGUUUUUUUCCCAUCAAAAUAGUUACUUGAUUAUCCUCAGUAAAUUCUCCUUUUCCGUGCCCAUCUUCUCACAGACAUUUGUUCUUCUUUUGUGGUGUUAAUGAAGGCAGAGCUUUCUGCUUCUCAGAAUAAGAAAACAAAUACUGAAAAUUAUUAUCACAAUCCAGGACUGAAACAAAUUUUUUUUAAAAUACCAUAGCUUUCAGAUUGAAUGCUCUAACUCCGCAAUUCAAGAUGGCUGGUGACAUCUUUCUUAUUUACCUGUGUACAGAUAUACACACCAAAUGAAGUCAAAAUGCAUACUCUUAGCUGUACCCAACAG
Molecule: long non-coding RNA, 3407 nt
Organism: Corvus hawaiiensis (hawaiian crow)
Lineage: Eukaryota; Metazoa; Chordata; Aves; Passeriformes; Corvidae
Exons: 3
Source: RefSeq, a predicted model, not a curated record